RNAcentral lists this long non-coding RNA (1185 nucleotides) under Papio anubis (olive baboon). RNAcentral describes it as "lncRNA (ENSPANG00000038375.1)". The record is from RNAcentral. Lineage: Eukaryota; Metazoa; Chordata; Mammalia; Primates; Cercopithecidae.
AUGAAGCCCACCCACAUCAUAGAGGGCAAUCUGCUUUUCUCAAAGUCCACCAAUUUAAAUGUUGAUCCCAUCCAAAAACACCCUUGCAGGAACAUGCAGAAUAAUGUUGAGAUACUUGAACAAUGUGGCCCAGCCAAGUUGACACAUAAAGUCACCAUCACAUUUACACUAAAAAAUUAUUCAUUGUUUAUCUGGAAUUCAAAUUUGACUGAGUAUAUUCUGUUUUUUCUGACAGUCCUACUCACGGAGGACUCUGUGCUUCAUGCAACAGCCCCAGCUGAGCUCCCAGCAGAUGCCAGCACCAUUCGCCAUCCAUGAUAAGCCUCCGAUGCAAUCACUUGUGUUAAGAAAUUGAGAGAAUGUUGAUAUAAACUGUUCCCUGAGCCAUAUGGAAAGCUGUAUCUUCUGCAGGUUGCUUGGUGAGUAUACAAGGAGUACAAGGUAUAUUUAUUGACUUUGAGAAGUGUUUCUCUAAGAAGGUGUACUGAAAGAUUUUCUCCUGCUACAGGGAUAGCCCUUAAAAAGGAAGUCACUUUCCUUAGGUACACAGACAGGGCUCCUUCAGCAGACAGCAGAUAGAUAUGCAAUGCAGACCUUGUUUUCUGUGAUGGUCCCAAUGUAUCACUGGAUAAGUCUGUCCAAUUCUGGGGUUUGUUCAUAGGAAACCUAUGUGCCAGCAAAUCUAUGUCACAUUCUCCAGUAUCUCCUUUAUAAGGAAUAAAGUCAAUGUAUUGUUCUUCUUAUUCUUUUGUCGUAUUUCUCAGUUGGUGUACAACUCAGACUUGGAGCUGGAGGGCAUUUUGGGGGCCCCUUAAAGAUCCAAGCAUUGCGAAGCAAGACUGUAGGAAUAGUUGGGGAGCAAGCGAGACACAGGAGAGUAGAGCUGUGGACCUAUUGUAAGCCCCACCCCUGAGGGCAGAGCAGAACAUAUACUUGGUUAAGUGAAAGUUACAACCAAGAGUUUUAAAGGGAGAGGACCUGGGCUGUGCAACCUGUUUCUCCUUCCAAACUCACCAAUUAGAUGGGACAUUCCUGUGAUAGAGGAGUGAGUGUAUCAAGAGGCCAGAAGUGUUUUGGGUAUCGAUGUCUCUCCACAUAGAAGAAAAUAUUAAGAAUGGUGGACAAGCAGUACCUAAGCUGGAGCGGGAUAGAGGCGGGCCAGCACCCACUUCUGACCUCCAGUGC